AUACUGUGCUAAGAACUGGAGAUACAAAUACCAGGAGGCGAUUUCUGAAUGCUAGCUCUUUGAAGAAUGGAAUCCUAUAAAAGGAGCCUUUGUUAUAACAUGCUGUGACUCAAGAGGACCAGCUCCUGCAUGUAUUCCUUACUUCAGACUGCAAGAUAACAAAGAGAAUCUCAUUAUCCAGCUACCUCCCACCUUGGGCACUGGUGCCUUGCCCCUGGCUGCCCUCCUCUCCCUGAAUAGAGAGAGAAGCCAGGAUGACAGUUUUCUUCAACCAUUUCCUGAGAGUUUCUACAUUGAACUCUCUCUUGUUCCAAAGGAGAGCAGGGAGGCAAAACAGCUGCAUCUCUGUGUAUACAAUCUGCUCCUUGAUUGCCCCACUUUUCUGUGGAGAAGAGGGAAAAAACUGGUUGUUAAACAUUUACUGAAGGGAAUACAGAGCGAGUUUAAAUAGUUACUAAAUGGACCUGAGGAUCUAGACAUGAAAAGGACCUAAUCGAUCAUCUAAUCCAGCCUCCUCAUUUUUGGCUUGAAGAAAUUGAAGAUCAGAAAUAUUUGCUGCCUUUUUUUCAGGUCACACACAUAGUAAGUAAAAGUGCUGUGAUUUGAACCCAGGCUGCCAAAGUCCUAAUUAAUGUCUCUUUCCACAGUACCAUCCUGUUUCAUUUCGUUUGUACAAAAAUAGUCCAGAAUUGUAUACAGUAUGAUUUGUUGUGGGUCUAUACUUCUAUUUUUAUUCAAAGAUAUUUUAUUUUCCCAAUUACAUGUAAUAAUUAUCAACAUACAUUUUCUGAAAUUAUAAGAUCCAAAUUGUCUUCCUUCCUCUUUUCCCUCCCCUCCUCCAGGAGAGAGAUGGUAAACAAUUUGAUCUGGGUUAUAUAUGUAUUAUCAGGCAUAACAUAUUUCCAUAUUGGCCAUUGUUGUAAGAGAAUACUCAUAUAAAAUCAAAACAUCAAAAUAAAACCAUAAAUAAACUUUAAAAUGUGAAAGAU
RNAcentral lists this long non-coding RNA (989 nucleotides) under Monodelphis domestica (gray short-tailed opossum). RNAcentral describes it as "lncRNA (ENSMODG00000039556.1)". The record is from RNAcentral. Lineage: Eukaryota; Metazoa; Chordata; Mammalia; Didelphimorphia; Didelphidae.